CGGGGGGUGCGAGCGUUGUCCGGAAUCACUGGGCGUAAAGGGCGCGUAGGUGGUUUGAUAAGGGUGUGGUGAAAGUCCGGGGCUCAACCCCGGAUCUGCCGUGCCGACUGUCAAACUCGAGGGCUGUAGAGGCAGACGGAAUUCCGGGUGUAGCGGUGGAAUGCGUAGAGAUCCGGAGGAAGACCGGUGGCGAAGGCGGUCUGCUGGGCAGUUUCUGACACUGAUGCGCGACAGCGUGGGGAGCAAACAGGAUUAGAUACCCUGGUAGUCCACGCCGCAAACGAUGGGUACUAGGUGCCUGGGGGAGCGACCCUCUGGGUGCCGGCGCUAACGCAGGAAGUACCCCGCCUGGGGAGUACGACCGCAAGGUUG
This 372-nucleotide ribosomal RNA is filed under the name uncultured organism. RNAcentral describes it as "bacterial SSU rRNA". It matches the Rfam family "Bacterial small subunit ribosomal RNA", at positions 526 to 896 of the family's 1533-position model. The record is from RNAcentral.